GUAUUCUCUUUGGCAGUACAUACAGUAAAAUUGGAACAAGACAAAGAAGAUUAGUAUGGUACCUGUGCAAGGAUGAAAAACAAAUUCAUCCUUAUUUUU
RNAcentral lists this small nuclear RNA (99 nucleotides) under Procavia capensis (Cape rock hyrax). The record is from RNAcentral. Lineage: Eukaryota; Metazoa; Chordata; Mammalia; Hyracoidea; Procaviidae.